CCUGGCUCAGAUUGAACGCUGGCGGCAGGCUUAACACAUGCAAGUCGAGCGGAAACGAUGAUAGCUUGCUAUCAGGCGUCGAGCGGCGGACGGGUGAGUAAUACUUAGGAAUCUACCUAGUAGUGGGGGAUAGCACGGGGAAACUCGUAUUAAUACCGCAUACGACCUACGGGAGAAAGGGGGCAGUUUACUGCUCUCGCUAUUAGAUGAGCCUAAGUCGGAUUAGCUAGAUGGUGGGGUAAAGGCCUACCAUGGCGACGAUCUGUAGCUGGUCUGAGAGGAUGAUCAGCCACACCGGGACAUGGCGACGAUCUGUAGCUGGUCUGAGAGGAUGAUCAGCCACACCGGGA
RNAcentral lists this ribosomal RNA (350 nucleotides) under Psychrobacter urativorans. RNAcentral's name for it is "bacterial SSU rRNA". It matches the Rfam family "Bacterial small subunit ribosomal RNA", at positions 18 to 335 of the family's 1533-position model. Lineage: Bacteria; Pseudomonadati; Pseudomonadota; Gammaproteobacteria; Moraxellales; Moraxellaceae. The record is from RNAcentral.